This 234-nucleotide ribosomal RNA is filed under the name uncultured Candidatus Saccharibacteria bacterium. Its description in RNAcentral is "partial 16S ribosomal RNA". It matches the Rfam family "Bacterial small subunit ribosomal RNA", at positions 584 to 818 of the family's 1533-position model. Lineage: Bacteria; Candidatus Saccharimonadota. The record is from RNAcentral.
UAAGCAGGGUAUGAAAUCGUAAGGUUCAACCUUACAACUGUGCCCUGAACUGGCAGACUAGAGUGUGGUGAGGUAGCUGGAAUUUCUAGUGUAGGAGUGAAAUCCGUAGAUAUUAGAAGGAACACCGAUGGCGUAGGCAGGCUACUGGGCCAUUACUGACACUGAGGCACGAAAGCGUGGGGAGCGAACCGGAUUAGAUACCCGGGUAGUCCACGCCGUAAACGAUGGACGCUA